UUCUAAUGUCGUUGGAGUAGCGGCGUUAAUACGUAGGUGGGUAGGGGUGUGCGGAAUUGUUGGGGGUAAAGCGCUCGCAGGCUGUCCUUGAAGUCGGAGUGGAAAGCCCACGGCUCAACCGGGGAGGGUCAGUGGAAACUGGGGGAAUUGAGUGCAGAAGAGGAAAGCGGAAUUCCACGUGUAGCGGUGAAAUGCGUAGAGAUGUGGAGGAACACCAGUGGCGAAGGCGGCUUUCUGGUCUGUAACUGACGCUGAGGCGCGAAAGCGUGGGGAGCAAACAGGAUUAGAUACCCUGGUAGUC
This 301-nucleotide ribosomal RNA is filed under the name uncultured Lactobacillus sp. Its description in RNAcentral is "bacterial SSU rRNA". It matches the Rfam family "Bacterial small subunit ribosomal RNA", at positions 495 to 795 of the family's 1533-position model. The record is from RNAcentral. Lineage: Bacteria; Bacillati; Bacillota; Bacilli; Lactobacillales; Lactobacillaceae.